AUUGAACGCUGGCGGCAGGCCUAAUACAUGCAAGUCGAACGGUAACAUAAAAGAAGCUUGCUUCUUUUGAUGACGAGUGGCGGACGGGUGAGUAAUAUUUGGGAAACUACCUGAUAGAGGGGGACAACAGUUGGAAACGACUGCUAAUACCGCAUAAAGCCUGGGGGUGAAAGCAGCAAUGCGCUAUCAGAUGUGCCCAAACGGGAUUAGCUAGUAGGUGAGGUAAAGGCUCACCUAGGCGACGAUCUCUAGCUGGUCUGAGAGGAUGAUCAGCCACAUUGGGACUGAGACACGGCCCAGACUCCUACGGGAGGCAGCAGUAGGAAUAUUGCACAAUGGAGGAAACUCUGAUGCAGCCAUGCCGCGUGUGUGAAGAAGGCCUU
Molecule: ribosomal RNA, 383 nt
Filed under: uncultured bacterium
Lineage: Bacteria
Description: bacterial SSU rRNA
Rfam family: Bacterial small subunit ribosomal RNA
Source: RNAcentral